RNAcentral lists this transfer RNA (86 nucleotides) under Felis catus (domestic cat). It matches the Rfam family "tRNA". Rfam says of the family: Transfer RNA (tRNA) molecules are approximately 80 nucleotides in length. Their secondary structure includes four short double-helical elements and three loops (D, anti-codon, and T loops). The record is from Rfam by way of RNAcentral. RNAcentral also lists the same sequence under 2 other names. Lineage: Eukaryota; Metazoa; Chordata; Mammalia; Carnivora; Felidae.
GCCUGGGUGGCUCAGUCGGUUGAGCGCCUGACUUUGGCUCAGGUCAUGAUCUCACAGCUCUGUGGGUUCGUGCCCCACAUCGGGCU